AAACAAUGAUGGUAUUCUUUAAGGCUUGUUUCUCAAAGCAUUCGCAGUGGCCGCUUAAGAGCUUUUGCCUUCGUCGGGCUUGAGAGCUAUUGCUGCUUUAUCAUUCUUUAGAUGUCUGAGUUC
Cucumis sativus (cucumber) is the source of this 123-nucleotide non-coding RNA. The record is from Rfam. Lineage: Eukaryota; Viridiplantae; Streptophyta; Magnoliopsida; Cucurbitales; Cucurbitaceae.